UAUCUUUAAUUGACCCUAGAUAAACCUGAAG
This 31-nucleotide non-coding RNA is filed under the name Rattus norvegicus (Norway rat). Lineage: Eukaryota; Metazoa; Chordata; Mammalia; Rodentia; Muridae. The record is from RNAcentral.